GGAUUAGAUACCCUGGUAGUCCAUGCCGUAAACGUUGGGCACUAGGUGUGGGGGACAUUCCACGUUUUCCGCGCCGUAGCUAACGCAUUAAGUGCCCCGCCUGGGGAGUACGGCCGCAAGGCUAAAACUCAAAGGAAUUGACGGGGGCCCGCACAAGCGGCGGAGCAUGCGGAUUAAUUCGAUGCAACGCGAAGAACCUUACCAAGGCUUGACAUGGACCGGACCGCUGCAGAGAUGUAGCUUCCCUUCGGGGCUGGUUCACAGGUGGUGCAUGGUUGUCGUCAGCUCGUGUCGUGAGAUGUUGGGUUAAGUCCCGCAACGAGCGCAACCCUUGUCCUAUGUUGCCAGCACGUAAAGGUGGGGACUCAUGGGAGACUGCCGGGGUCAACUCGGAGGAAGGUGGGGAUGACGUCAAAUCAUCAUGCCCCUUAUGUCUUGGGCUUCACGCAUGCUACAAUGGCCGGUACAGUGGGUUGCGAUACUGUGAGGUGGAGCUAAUCCCUAAAAGCCGGUCUCAGUUCGGAUCGAAGUCUGCAACUCGACUUCGUGAAGUUGGAGUCGCUAGUAAUCGCAGACCAGCAACGCUGCGGUGAAUACGUUCCCGGGCCUUGUACACACCGCCCGUCAAGUCACGAAAGUUGGUAACACCCGAAGCCCAUGGCCCAACCCUUGUGGAGGGAAUGGUCGAAGGUGGGACUAGCGAUUGGGACUAAGUCGUAACAAG
This 724-nucleotide ribosomal RNA is filed under the name uncultured bacterium. RNAcentral's name for it is "bacterial SSU rRNA". It matches the Rfam family "Bacterial small subunit ribosomal RNA", at positions 775 to 1495 of the family's 1533-position model. The record is from RNAcentral.